AUGAUAUUAUCCUUGACAUGUGGUGGUUGGAAGAUAUUGGUAAUGGUGAAAUGUGGGUCAAUUGGCGCCGCGAGAAGCUCUGGUUUAAUCAUGAAGGCAAGCGGGUCACUUUGCGUGGCAUUACUGAUAAUCAGAUGGUGCACCAUGCAAGGGGAUCUCCCAAACGCUUGUGUUAAUAUUGAUGCAGGAAGGGGUGAUUAUUCAAGGUAUGUGAGCCUUGACGGAGCAGAAUCACUUAAUCCUACUGCAUAUGGGGAUCUGUACAAUAAGACUGACUUGUGCGAAAAUAACUCGGAUGCCAAACUCUUGGUGAUAAAAUCACACAACCAGGAUGUUGUUCAAAGGAGCAUAAACUAA
This 357-nucleotide ribosomal RNA is filed under the name Triticum aestivum (bread wheat). RNAcentral's name for it is "partial small subunit ribosomal RNA". The record is from RNAcentral. Lineage: Eukaryota; Viridiplantae; Streptophyta; Magnoliopsida; Poales; Poaceae.